AGUGUGAUUGCGGGUUAUAUGGUUUAUUUUUGUAAAAAACUGCCAAAUUCCUCAAAAAGGAAGCUGUACCAUUUUAGAUACCUGCCAGCAAU
Molecule: microRNA precursor, 92 nt
Filed under: Marmota monax (woodchuck)
Lineage: Eukaryota; Metazoa; Chordata; Mammalia; Rodentia; Sciuridae
Source: RNAcentral